GCCGGAGCCCGUAAUCCCCAG
RNAcentral lists this non-coding RNA (21 nucleotides) under Arabidopsis thaliana (thale cress). Lineage: Eukaryota; Viridiplantae; Streptophyta; Magnoliopsida; Brassicales; Brassicaceae. The record is from RNAcentral.